AUUGAACGCUGGCGGCAGGCCUAACACAUGCAAGUCGAGCGAGUGGCGGACGGGUGAGUAAUGUCUGGGGAUCUGCCCGAUAGAGGGGGAUAACUACUGGAAACGGUGGCUAAUACCGCAUACUAUCGGAUGAACCCAUAUGGGAUUAGCUAGUAGGUGGGGUAAAGGCUCACCUAGGCGACGAUCUCUAGCUGGUCUGAGAGGAUGAGAAGCCACACUGGAACUGAGACAGCGCCCAGAAUCCUACGGGCGGCAGCAGUGGGGAAUAUUGCACAAUUGGCGGAAGCCUGAUGCAGCCAUGCCGCGUGUAUGAAGAAGGCCUUAGGGUUGUAAAGUACUUUCAGCGGGGAGGCGUUACCCGCAGAAGAAGCACCGGCUAACUCCGUGCCAGCAGCCGCGGUAAUUC
This 406-nucleotide ribosomal RNA is filed under the name uncultured bacterium. RNAcentral describes it as "partial 16S ribosomal RNA". It matches the Rfam family "Bacterial small subunit ribosomal RNA", at positions 30 to 526 of the family's 1533-position model. The record is from RNAcentral.